UUUUCUGUUCUCAUUUGCCCAUUUGACAAAUGUGUCUGCAGCUGCCUUCACAGUUGUGAAAUCCCUGCUGAUGUUUUUGAGGCUGUCUUGUGUGGCGAUCACCAUACGAUGGGCAGAGAGGAUUUCCAUCCCUUUUGUCUGGAGGUACUUUGAUAGUGGAGUUGUUUGAAUUUUGAAUUUCGAAUUUCAGGAGGCCCUCUUUGAAUCCUCGUGCUUUAGCAUGGACGGUUGGCUUCUCUUUUGCCUGCUGCUCUAUGGCUGCCAGUGUGAGCACUGUAUCGAUGAAGAGGCUGCUGACUGGUUUACCAAAGUGUCCAAACACUUUUUUGUCAGCUUCGUGCUUGGAGCCCCACCUUGUUUCUCCAAUUGGAGAUAGGCGUCUGUGGCUUUUGUCUUGGGCUUGGUUGUCCCACAGAAUGACCCUCUGGUAGGAGUCCUUGAUGAACACAGCUAUGUCAUUCAGUAGACUGAAGAGGGAUCCACUUUUGAUAACACUUCCAUUAGUGUCAGCCAGCACUAGAUUUAGUACAUGAGCGUAGCACCAUACAUGCACAUGAGUGGGAGACUCGGACGUCAUCAAUGCUGAAAACCCUCUGUACUGGCCCUGCAUAUUUGAUGCCCCAUCUGUUGAAUUUCCGAUACACAUGGCCUUGUCCAGUUUCAGGCGAUCUAAGACUUCUGAGAGCAAGUCCACGAAGUAUUGCCCAGCGGAUGCAUGGCACUUCACUACAGCAACAAGCCUCUCCUGCACAGCCUCAGUAACAUAACGCAAUACGACUGCACACUGAUCCUGGCUGGUUAUAUCUUGUGUAGUGUCCAGCUGAACAGUGAACAUGCCAGCUUUCUGGAGGUCACUGGCGAUGCUCUCCUGAAUUAGAUGGCCAAUGCUAUCGAUCACGGAGUUCACAGUGGUUUUGGACAGUAGGGUGAUAAGUGAUCCUCUACCUUUUGUUCCACUUGAUUCAUGCAAUUCCUUGCUCUUCUUUAUGCAAUCAUCAAGAUGCUCUUUGAGACUGACAUCAUACUUUCCUAAUAAAAGGAUGAGCUCCAAAAAGUUUCCAUGGUCUAGGGUAUUGUCAUCCCAGUUGUAUGCUGCCUCAUUCUUCAUAUGCUGGUAGCUCAGGCCCCUCUUUCCAAACACUUUAACCACAUCCACUACACGCUCCAAAACCUGGCGUUUCUUUCUGACUUGCUGCCUAUGAGCAGACAUCUGACUGCCGGCAAACUUGCUCUGGAUAUCUCCCUUUUUGUACCUUAGGAAAUAAGCUUCCGCACACUUUCGGUGUGUAUCGCUCUUUUCGUGCUCCUCUGUACGCUGGUGUACACGUCUCCAUCCUGAGAGUCCAGUAAUGAACUUGCUGGUGUCAGUGCUCUUUCCAAAUGCCAUACAUAUAAAACAAAACAAUGUAUGCUGUUCCUCGCAAUAUGUGAGCCACUUCCUGCUGGUGCCAUCUUUGCAGGUGAAUACCUUUUGCACAACCUGAUUGUUGGUUCUCUGCUGAGGGUGGAGAUCUACAAAAUUAUCGAACAUGGAAGGCUCAGGGCGGGCAAAGUAAUUGAAGUCCUGCUCCUGGCUCUCUCUUUCCUGUUCCUGGCUUUCUCUUUCCUGUUCCUGGCUCUCUCUUUCCUGUUCCUGGCUCUCUCUUUCCUGUUCCUCGCUCUCCUCUCUCUCCCUGACACUCUUGUUCUCUGGGGAGGGCAGCUCAACCUAGCUCAAAAAGACAUGAGGAGAGACGUAAAGACACACUUUGUGAGGUUAUAUUUUAAAUAUCCCCCAAGGAUAUGUUUGAAGAUGUAUAUAUCUAAAUAUAAUUUGUCUGGUUUUUCCACAUUUUUUUUUAAAUCUCGAAAUUCCAUCUGAUGCCUUCUCAAGUGGAAUUGUGUUUAUUUAUAUAGCCCUAUAUCACACACUUGUCUCAAAGGGAUUCACAGAGAAAGUGUCUAGCUCAGACAGACACUUCUUCAAUAAAAAAAUCCUGAAUCUAUAAAUAUGCAAAUACAUUUAUUUUUCAGAAUUGUGACAAAAUGUCUCCUCCUUCAUUAAGUCUUUUUUUAGUGGAGGGGGAUUUGGACAUAAUGAUACAUGCAGGUCUGACAUACAAGCUCCUAGAUAAUAGGGCCUAGGACCAUCAAACCACUUCUAAAUUGUUGACAAACAAUGGCCACAAGAUGCAGAGCCUAUGCUUUGAGCAUUAUUACCUAGUGCAAUUUUACACAAAUAUUUCCAAUUAGGUAUUUCAAUUGAUUAUUGAAAAAAAUACAGAUGACAAAUGCUUUCAAGUUCAAUAGCUCCUAGAUAAUAGGGCCUAGGACCAUCAAACCACUUCUAAAUUGUUGACAAACAAUGGCCACAAGAUGCAGAGCCUAUGCUUUGAGCAUUAUUACCUAGUGCAAUGUAUAUCUUUAUGCGGGGGGGGGGGAGGAUCAGUACAGUUAAACCAGCAACAUUAAUUCUGAGGCACUUGUGGUUUUAAGCGAUAAGGAUAGUAGGGAAACACCCAGGUGGGUAUGACGGUGUGGCAUGCCUGCAACAAUUGAACAUAUUAUUAUAAUGUAAAAUACAGGAAAGUAAGAUGGUAUUCAAUGUUAUUUUAGAAUUAGGACUUUCCUUUUUCUUUUUUCAGACAAGAAGAAGCAGUAACUAUUUGAAAGGAAAGUUGGAUUUGUUUGUAUGCAACUGGACUAUAUGCACGGAUGCAUCUGAGGAUCAGGUGAGGUUUUUUAACGAUCAGCAGAGGGCAGUAAUGCGUGUGGAAGUGUUUAACCUGCCAGAAUCAUACAAAGAGAAGAAGAAGCAGAAGCAUCACGCAGAGCGGUGUGAAGAGCUGAGGGGAGUGCUUCGGAGGCAUCGGUGCUGGGCUUCACAUGUCCCGAUUCAGAAUGCUGCUCCCCGACUCGCCUUCAACCUUCCCAAGUUAUCCCAAGUCACUCCUGCUGAGUUCACUCCACUGGCUACCGGUCGCUGCCAGGACCAGGUUCAAAGUCCAGAUCCUCGCCUACCCUGCAGCCAACAGGACGGCCCCCGGCUACUUACAGGACAUGAUUCAAUCCUACACGCCAGCUCGACCACUCCGCUCUGUGGAAACAGCGCCACUUGCACCCCUGCCAUUCGGAUGAAUCUGGGAUAAUUUUUUCACUUAAAUUCCCCUCUUUUAUGCUACACAUGUACCUCCUGUGCCAAUUUCAUGUUACCUGUACCGCCAUCCAGCACUUAUACUGUACUUUGUAUCAUUAUCUUGAUGUUGUAGCUUGUCAUGCCUCCUAGUUUUACUUAGCAGAGGUUAGGUCAGAGUAAUGUUUAAUGUGUGAACUGGACUUAAUGUGUUCAUGGCUAUGAAUAACUGUUACAAAAUGAGUAUUGUGCCUUAUUGGAUCUGUGUUUUGUAGUUGUUCCAAUGACCUUCUUUAUGCACUUAUUGUACGUCACUUUGGAUAAAAACGUCUGCCGAAUAAUGCAAUGUAAUGUCAGGAGUUUGCCUCCCUCUGCUGGACAGAAAAUGGCAUUACAGCAGAGGAAAUCCGAUUUAAAAAAUGUUGCAAUG
Long non-coding RNA from Anguilla rostrata (American eel), 3542 nucleotides. RefSeq lists it as uncharacterized. The record is from RefSeq and is a predicted model, not a curated record. NCBI's taxonomy places the organism in Eukaryota, Metazoa, Chordata, Actinopteri, Anguilliformes, Anguillidae. The transcript has 2 exons.